GAUGAACGCUGACAGAGUGCUUAACACAUGCAAGUCGAUGGGGAAGUGGUGCUUGCACCAUGGCAACCAUGGCGGACGGGUGAGUAACGCGUAAGGGACUUACCUGCAGGACUGGGAUAACAGGGUGAAACUCCUGACAAGACCGGAUAAUGUCAUGGAGCUGCAUGGCUUUAUGAUGAAAGGAGACGCCUGCGGAGAGCCUUGCGUCCUAUUAGCUAGUUGGUGAGGUAAUGGCUCACCAAGGCGAAGAUAGGUAGCCGGCCUGAGAGGGUGGACGGCCAAAAGGGGACUGAGAGACGGCACUGACUACUACGGGAGGAAGCAGUGGGGAAUAUUGGACAAAGGGGGCAACCCUGAUCCAGAAAUUCUGUGUGCAAGAAGAAGGUUUUCGGAGUGUAAAGUGCUUUCAGCAGGGAAGAAGUAAGUGACGGUACCUGCAGAAGAAGCGACGGCUAAAUACGUG
This 463-nucleotide ribosomal RNA is filed under the name uncultured bacterium. RNAcentral describes it as "partial 16S ribosomal RNA". It matches the Rfam family "Bacterial small subunit ribosomal RNA", at positions 28 to 507 of the family's 1533-position model. The record is from RNAcentral.